AGUAACGCGUGAGGAACCUGCCUUGAAGAGGGGGACAACAGUUGGAAACGACUGCUAAUACCGCAUGACGCAUAGGGGUCGCAUGAUUCUUAUGCCAAAGAUUUAUCGCUUCAAGAUGGCCUCGCGUCUGAUUAGCUAGUUGGCGGGGUAACGGCCCACCAAGGCGACGAUCAGUAGCCGGACUGAGAGGUUGAACGGCCACAUUGGGACUGAGAUACGGCCCAG
Molecule: ribosomal RNA, 225 nt
Filed under: uncultured bacterium
Lineage: Bacteria
Description: partial 16S ribosomal RNA
Rfam family: Bacterial small subunit ribosomal RNA
Source: RNAcentral